Molecule: ribosomal RNA, 467 nt
Filed under: uncultured bacterium
Lineage: Bacteria
Description: bacterial SSU rRNA
Rfam family: Bacterial small subunit ribosomal RNA
Source: RNAcentral
UCCUACGGGAGGCAGCAGUGGGGAAUAUUGCGCAAUGGGGGGAACCCCGACGCAGCCAUGCCGCGUGAAUGAAGAAGGCCUUCGGGUUGUAAAGUUCUUUCGGUAAUGAGGAAGGGAUGUUGUUAAAUAGAUAGCAUCAUUGACGUUAAUUACAGAAGAAGCACCGGCUAACUCCGUGCCAGCAGCCGCGGUAAUACGGAGGGUGCGAGCGUUAAUCGGAAUAACUGGGCGUAAAGGGCACGCAGGCGGACUUUUAAGUGAGAUGUGAAAUCCCCGAGCUUAACUUGGGAACUGCAUUUCAGACUGGGAGUCUAGAGUACUUUAGGGAGGGGUAGAAUUCCACGUGUAGCGGUGAAAUGCGUAGAGAUGUGGAGGAAUACCGAAGGCGAAGGCAGCCCCUUGGGAAUGUACUGACGCUCAUGUGCGAAAGCGUGGGGAGCAAACAGGAUUAGAUACCCUGGUAGUCC